Molecule: transfer RNA, 84 nt
Filed under: Deltaproteobacteria bacterium
Lineage: Bacteria; Pseudomonadati; Myxococcota; Myxococcia
Description: tRNA-Ser
Rfam family: tRNA
About the family: Transfer RNA (tRNA) molecules are approximately 80 nucleotides in length. Their secondary structure includes four short double-helical elements and three loops (D, anti-codon, and T loops).
Source: RNAcentral
GGACGGGUGGCCGAGUGGCUUAAGGCGCACGACUGGAAAUCGUGUGGGCAUCCGCCCGCGUGGGUUCGAAUCCCACCCCGUCCG